UACGAAGGGGGCUAGCGUUGUUCGGAAUCACUGGGCGUAAAGCGUGCGUAGGCUGUUUUGUAAGUUGGAAGUGAAAGCCCAGGGCUUAACCCUGGAAUUGCUUUCAAAACUACAAGACUUGAAUCCCGGAGAGGAUAGCGGAAUUGUCAGUGUAGCAGUGAAAUGCGUAGAUAUUGACAGGAACACCAGUGGCGUAAGCGGCUAUCUGGACGUGUAUUGACGCUGAGGCACGAAAGCGUGGGGAGCAAACAGG
Molecule: ribosomal RNA, 253 nt
Filed under: uncultured bacterium
Lineage: Bacteria
Description: partial 16S ribosomal RNA
Rfam family: Bacterial small subunit ribosomal RNA
Source: RNAcentral